This is a non-coding RNA of Roridomyces roridus, 84 nucleotides long. Lineage: Eukaryota; Fungi; Basidiomycota; Agaricomycetes; Agaricales; Mycenaceae. The record is from the annotation of a GenBank genome assembly.
CGCCCUGUAGUCUAAUGGUACGAUGUCGCCAGUCCACAUUUCGUGACGAGGCGGAGAUUGCAAGCUCGAUUCUUGUCGGGGCUU